This 423-nucleotide ribosomal RNA is filed under the name Triticum aestivum (bread wheat). RNAcentral describes it as "partial small subunit ribosomal RNA". The record is from RNAcentral. Lineage: Eukaryota; Viridiplantae; Streptophyta; Magnoliopsida; Poales; Poaceae.
AUGGAUGGGAUCAUGACUUUACAUGAGCUCCUCAAUUACACCCAUGUCAAGAAAAAAGUAGGGGUGGUGCUUAAGCUCGACUUCGAGAAAGCAUACGACAAGGUUAACUGGGAGUUUCUGUUGGAUUGCCACAGAAUGAGGGGCUUCAACGAAACCUGGUGUGGGUGGGUGAAUCAAAUCCUAUACAAUGGUACUGUUAGUAUGAAGCUUAAUAACUCAGUAGGCCCAUAUUUUCAAAGUGCUAAAGGGGUGCGCCAAGGAGACCCCCACUCCCCCUUUUUGUUCAACCUAGCUGUAGAAUGUCUCAACAAGAUGAUCCGUAAAGCGCAGCAGAAUGGCCUCCUAACUGGACUAGCAUCUGAUCUUGUCCCGAAUGGGGUGGUAGUUCUGCAAUACGUAGAUGACACGAUUAUUUGCCUCGAG